RNAcentral lists this ribosomal RNA (440 nucleotides) under uncultured Clostridium sp. RNAcentral describes it as "bacterial SSU rRNA". It matches the Rfam family "Bacterial small subunit ribosomal RNA", at positions 338 to 795 of the family's 1533-position model. The record is from RNAcentral. Lineage: Bacteria; Bacillati; Bacillota; Clostridia; Eubacteriales; Clostridiaceae.
CCUACGGGAGGCAGCAGUGGGGAAUAUUGCGCAAUGGAGGGAACUCUGACGCAGCAACGCCGCGUGAAGGAAGAAGGCUUUCGGGUUGUAAACUUCUUUGAUCGGGGACGAAGAUGACGGUACCCGAGGAACAAGCCACGGCUAACUACGUGCCAGCAGCCGCGGUAAUACGUAGGUGGCGAGCGUUGUCCGGAAUUACUGGGUGUAAAGGGCGUGUAGGCGGGGAGGCAAGUCAGAUGUGAAAUCCCGAGGCUCAACUUCGGAGCUGCAUCUGAAACUGUUUUUCUUGAGUACUGGAGAGGAAAGUGGAAUUCCUAGUGUAGCGGUGAAAUGCGUAGAGAUUAGGAGGAACACCAGUGGCGAAGGCGGCUUUCUGGACAGUAACUGACGCUGAGGCGCGAAAGCGUGGGGAGCAAACAGGAUUAGAUACCCUUGUAGUC